CCUACGGGCGGCAGCAGUCGAGAAUCAUUCACAAUGGGGGAAACCCUGAUGGUGCGACGCCGCGUGGGGGAAUGAAGGUCUUCGGAUUGUAAACCCCUGUCAUGUGGGAGCAAAUUAAAAAGAUAGUACCACAAGAGGAAGAGACGGCUAACUCUGUGCCAGCAGCCGCGGUAAUACAGAGGUCUCAAGAGGUGUUCGGAAUCGCUGGGCUUAAAGCGUGCGUAGGCUGUUUCGUAAGUCGUGUGUGAAAGGCGCGGGCUCAACCCGCGGACGGCACAUGAUACUGCGAGACUAGCGUAAGGGAGGGGGAACCGGAAUUCUCGGUGUAGCAGUGAAAUGCGUAGAGAUCGAGAGGAACACUCGUGGCGAAGGCGGGUUCCUGGACAUUAACUGACGCUGAGGCACGAAGGCCAGGGGAGCGAAAGGGAUUAGAUACCCUAGUAGUC
Molecule: ribosomal RNA, 446 nt
Filed under: uncultured bacterium
Lineage: Bacteria
Description: partial 16S ribosomal RNA
Rfam family: Bacterial small subunit ribosomal RNA
Source: RNAcentral